AUCUGCAUCCUUGCAAUGGAUACCCAUGAACGUGUGUACGUGGGGUUAUUUAAGAUCUAACUAUCAGAAAGCUUUGGUAAAGUUUGGUAAAGUUAAAAAUGGUGGGUGUAGGUCUCAGAGUUGUUUUGUAGUCUCAGGUUUGCUUCAAUCAUGAAGUUGGAAAGUUUUCCUUAGUGCUAGCUCAGAUGAAAGUACUACGCGAAGGAGUGGUCAUUAGUGACACAUUCCUAGAAGAUAUUUAAUAAUUCAUACUUGCUUCUGCCAAGCACAUUGAAAGAUCUAAUAUUUACCACCCGGAGGAGAAAGGCAAUUUUAAGAUAAUAGCAGAUCUCAAUAAACCCUCAUGAAAGCCGUACAAAUCUAAAAAAUGAGGUUUAUAGGGCUUUGUGUAAACUAAAAAUAGUUAGAUACAUGUUCACAAUUUGAGGAAUGCAGUGGAAAGUAAAAUGUUUCAGGAGAGAAGUUUAAACAAAUAUUUUAUGGGGAUUUUUGGAGUGAACCUUUGAUUUUUAUUUUUAAUUAUCUCCCUUGCUGUAUUUUGCCUUCUUUCCUUUUUUUUUUUCCCCUCUCAUCUUAAGUUGAGAGGGGAAAAGGCAGCUGGUAUAAUCCAGAAACAGAAUCACAGAAAUGCUCCAAUGCUCAUCAUGCUCCAAUGAUGGUGAGGUUUGAGGGGCUCAAAGGCGUUUGGUGCUGCUGGCUGUUUGUGUCCAGGAUGGUUCUGCUAUGAGAAAUGAUGGGAGGUGCUGGAGGGGGGAGAUGGUGUAGCCAUGAGGAACUCCUGGAACUUCUGGAUGGCCUGGCAAAUUGGCCAAAAUGGUGUAGGAGAGAGAUCCUCUGCAUUUCUGAACUCCUAUUAAAAUCUAGUGAGAUAAAGAGCUUGAUCUUGUCUGAUGCAGGAUCACUGCUACAGCAUGGCAGUUUUGGCUCUUAAAGCAGAGACAUUUAUUUGUUCUGUUUCCUUUUUAAAAAUAAUUUAAAAACCUUGAGUGAAUGUUGUGCUGUGUUGAAAGGGAGGAGAUGCAUGAGAAGUAAUGAAAGAGUAAGGAUGCUAGGGCUCUUCCCAUCAUACAGCAUGCCUUCAGAAUUAAUGCCAGAACAUCCAAUUUGGCUAAAAGGAGCUGUUUGCUCCUGCACCUAUAUAAUCCUUGGGGAGACUGGUUGCCAGAAUAAUUUACCUGGGAAUUCCUAAACAGGAUUAAGUGACUGCAGUUUGCAUUGACGCCAACAAAAAAUAAUAUUCUAAAGGUACUGAUCACCUUCCAGCAUAUGAAUUGUCACCUGCCAGUUAGGGAAGGAGGGGAAGACACCUUUAUGUAAACACCAACAGAAUAUGUCAGGUAUCUGAAGUCACAAUCCUUGUGAACUCGCGCCCAGGGUUCCUGUGUGAUGGGCUGUGUGUACUGGAAGAUGAUUCCCAUCACCAAGCCACUCGUUGGCCAGCGGCCUGUUCUCCUGACUCUCAUGAUAUGAAGCUGGUCGUGUUGAAAAUCAGUAAGUCGCAAGGUUUGGAAAGAGGAUGGGGGUUCUGCGUUUACUGGGGAAUCAAGAAAAAAAAGAAAAGGAACAGUGCUGAAUGCAGUCUUCAUUGCAAUUCAUUUGCUAAUUACAAAUUGACAUCAAUUGAAAAGUCCCAGAAGGAGGUGGUUUACAACAUAACUGUAAAACAAUUUGCAUCAGUGUAGAGGUCUGUAAAGUGCUUAUCCACAAAGGAAUGAGGUUUUAAGUGGAUUUGUUUAAUCGGGCUUAUCAUGAGCACAUAGUUGUUGGACUUUUUUUUUCCUUACUUGAAAAUUUUUCUUUCUGGAAGAUUCCCUCUUGUGUUGAGAUUAAAGAUGUCAAGGAAGCAAGUAUGGUGAAGUUUAAUGGAGAAUGAAAGUGAAACAAAUAAAAAGAAACGACCUUAACUGUGAAGUGUACUGAAGACCUAAAUGUUUUUGUCUCCAGAUUAUCAC
Long non-coding RNA from Oxyura jamaicensis (ruddy duck), 1952 nucleotides. RefSeq lists it as uncharacterized. The record is from RefSeq and is a predicted model, not a curated record. Lineage: Eukaryota; Metazoa; Chordata; Aves; Anseriformes; Anatidae. The transcript is spliced from 2 exons.